Callithrix jacchus (white-tufted-ear marmoset) is the source of this 146-nucleotide unclassified non-coding RNA. It matches the Rfam family "Metazoan signal recognition particle RNA". From Rfam's summary of the family: The signal recognition particle (SRP) is a universally conserved ribonucleoprotein. It is involved in the co-translational targeting of proteins to membranes. Lineage: Eukaryota; Metazoa; Chordata; Mammalia; Primates; Cebidae. The record is from Ensembl.
GUCGGGCAUGUGGCACGUGCCUGUAAUCCCAACUACUCAGGAGGCUGAGGCAGGAGAAUCGCUUGAACCCAGGAGCUGAGGUUGCAGUGAGCCGAGAUCACGGCUCUGCACUCCAGCCUGGGUGACAGAGUGAGACUCUGUCUCAA